This is a long non-coding RNA of Rhinopithecus bieti (black snub-nosed monkey), 4255 nucleotides long. The record is from Ensembl. Lineage: Eukaryota; Metazoa; Chordata; Mammalia; Primates; Cercopithecidae.
GAAAUAAUGAAACAAACAAAUGAAAAACUCCUGAUUACUGAAUGCUAGUAUUUUCUUUUUCCUUUUUCUCUUUCAGCUCUCAGGAGAAGUGAUUUUGCAAAUUGCCAACGAACCUGUUCUGCCCUUUAAUGCAAUUGAUAUAGCUUUAGAAGUUCAAAACAACCUUAAAGGUGAUCAACCCAACACCCCUCAACUGUUAGCCAUGGCGUCACGCCUGCGGGAGAGUGCUGAACUUUUUCAGUCUGAUGAGAUGCGACCUGCUAAUGAUCCCAAGGAGAGAGCAUCCAGCCGCAUCCGGAUGCUGAAUGACAUUCUCCAAGACAUGGAGAAAAGCUUUCUGGUGAAGCAGGUGCCACCAGGUUUUUAUAGAAACAUCCUGUACCACCUUGAUGAAAAGACAAGCCGGUUUUCAAUACUUGUGGAGGCUUGGGAACACUGCAAACCCCUUGCAUCAAAUGAGACCCUUCAGGAAGCCCUGUCAGAGGUGUUGAACAGCAUUAAUUCAGCUCAGGUUUACUUCAAAACAGGACUUGAUGUGUUCAGGAGUGUCUUGGAUGGGAAGAAUUGAGAAAACUCUGAGCAUUUUUUAAAGUUUGCUUACAAUUCCACAAGCAAAAGCUCUAAUUUAACCAGAUUUUCUGACAUUGAAGGCUUAUUUUCCCCAAUGGCUUUUGACAAGUAUAAAGCUAUUAUUACAUUGUAUUUUUUAAAUGUAAAUAUAAAAGAACAUUUUGCACAUUUAAUAUUUUUGUAGCUACAUUUCUGAAUAUGUAAAGCAAGUUAUUGAAAUAGGACUUAAGAAUUACCUAUUAAAAAGAAAUCUGUUAUAUAUAUAUAUAUGUGUAUACACACACACACUAUUUUGAGGAGAAAGUUUCAAGAAGUUCUGGAGUAUCUUUGUUCCUAUGGGCAGAGCAUAUAGGAACACAGUUUAUUCUCUCUGAUAGAGCUAUUAAUGACCUAGUUUCUGUAAAAGAAGUGAAGAGUUGAUAUGGUUCAGAUUAACUUCACUAUUAAGUGUUCAAUAUGAAGAAUUCAAGUAUUCUGACUGAGUUGACCUAAACCACUUCGAAUGUUUCUAUUUUAUGAAAUGAAGUUUCUCUUCUUAACACAACUAGAUGUAGUAAUACACUGGUUAUGAAAUUGUAUUUUUUUAAGUAUUAAUGAAAAAAGAGCCAUAAGCAUUCCAGGGAAAAAUCUCAAGGUAGCUACACAGAGCAAUUUAAAUGCAAAUCUUUUUCAUAACAACUUACAAGGUGACUAGCUUUGAAACCCUUAAUUUGCCUCAGUUGAUUUUCUAAGAAUUUCAGGAGUGAUGUAUGUCUUAAGAGGGAGAAAAACAUAUCUUAUUACUUUUUCUCUUGUUUCUUUUGGAAACACUGAAACAGAGACUACUCUAAAAUGAAAGCAUCUCACAUUGGUUUUCUUUCUUGUAUCUUUUCUGAAACUCCUUGCUGUAAGGCAGCUUUCACAGAGUACUAUAUAUUUUCCACAGUAAAGUAGCAAAGUUUCUCUUUGAAACCCAAAAUAUCUUCUAAAGUAUCAAAUUUCUAUUUCUGCCUCUGACAAAAAUAACUUGCUAUGAAAGAAAUAGUUGUUUUUAUCAAUAAAAGCUCCUUAAUACUAUGAAGAAACUUUUGGUAUUUUUUCUUCUUUAUCCUUAAUUGUGACUAAGAUGGAAAUCUAGAAAAUAUUCAUGCUUCUAAGUUUCUACAGGGUUACUGUAAGAGAGUAUCUCAUCUACACUUCAAUUCUUCUCUCAUGUGGAAAACUAAGUUUUUUAUAUUGACAUUGUCAUUGAAUAGCUCUAGCAAUUACUAUUAUUCUCCCAAACACUAAAAUUCUACCUAUUAAGUGUCAGGUUAAAGUUCUAGUUUAUCUUUAGAAGUUUAUUUGAAAAAUGAUUUUCCUAUACUGGAUAAAGCAAUUCCCCUUAGGAAACAUAGCCUCAGAGUAUUUCAUAUAAAUUUUCUCUACCUAAUUCGAACAUACUUCCCCAUCAUACACCACCAGAGCAACAUUGCAGACAGUCUGUGUAUGUUUAAAUUUUCACUUUUUAUGGAUGAGCAUAAACCUAGUCUUAGUUUAAAGGCAAACUAAAGUUGAGGGAAGAUAAUUAAUCAAUAUUCAUUAAUUGAUUUAUAAGGUUCAACACUUUCUACCCUAAAUUAUUUUUAUACGCUCAAGGCAAAGCAUGGAAUUGAGGCAAUUAGCUAGAUAAUUUAAGCAGAAACCCAUUUUCAUGGAAAUUGCCUGUGUGCACGUAUUUUUAGAUGAAAAAUGAAACUACCUUACAAUACUAUUUUUUACCAAUGUAUUUGUUUGAAAACAUUUGCCAUGUUGAAGAAUGUGUAUAGGAAAGGGCUAGAAAUAAACAGGCUUGUGCAUACCAAGACAUUCAUGAUCUUUCUUCCUCUUCAGAGAUCAUCAGAAAAGAGGUGGGAAUACACAUGCAGGUGCAUGUGAGCCCAAACGCCAGAAAGUCUUGUACCAGAAGAACUUAAAUAUUUAACCACAGGUUGAUGUGUUCAUUCCUGUUAUUCAUUUACAGAUGAAAUUAAAACAAAGAAAGGCAAACCAUUAUCAGUUUGGUAGUUCACUAUUUUAGAGCAAAUUUCUAAAUGAAUUUAUUCCCAUAACCUGCAAUAGCACUGAGAGCAGAAAAUAUGUUUCUUCUUCAUCUUUGUUUAAAGAUUGCAUACCUAGGUAAGUCACAUUGUAUAGAUAAAAACCUUCUUCUGUAUUCCUCACCUCUAAAUUAAAUGUUAUUUGCUAUUUGAAAAGUGUAGUUAACUAUGGUUUUUAUUAGUCUAUUAAGAGAUACGUGGAGAAAUUUAAUUAUAACUAAAGCAGAUGUCCAAAAUUCUAUACAUGCUGCUUUACAUCUUUGCAACAAACCUCUUAACUAGCAGCAUUAUUUCUAUAGUGUGAUUACCUGAGGGUGCCUCCAAAUGUAUAUCAUUUCACUCCCCUCCCCACCCCACCCCCAAUAGAUCCAAAUAAAUAAAAUCCUGAGCAAGUUAAUAGCAAGUGUUAUGUGAAUUGGUAGUAGGUUUAAAUUGUUGCUGAAUUGUCCAUAUGCCUGGUGCUUCUCACAAUCUUUCAUACAUAGAAUGAUGUCUAGGAAAUAAUGAAUCUUGAAUAUUCUCUGAAGAAAAUGUGGCAAAGGUGUAACAGUGAAAUUUAUGUUCAGGCAGGGUAUGCAUGAAAUACUGCCCUUUAUGGAAAAGCGUAAGUCUCAGAAUCAAAAGAAAGCCUAAGAAGGAUUCUGGUCUAAGCCGUGAGAUCUUGCCUUCAGCCAGAGAAGGCACUAUCAGUUACCCCAACCAGAUGUAGUAACUAAACCCAAAGUGAGUAAGAAACUUGGACAUAGUCAUGUAUUUAGUUAGUAACAAAAGCACCACUGGAAUUUAAGCUUCUCUGCUUUCUCAUGCAGUAUAUCUUGCUUCUCCCUGAGGAGACAGGGUUAUAAAUGAUCUUUUCCAGUGCAUUCUAUGUAACCAGCCAUUCUAUCAGAUGUUGCAUGGGCUGGUUUUAAUUCAAGGCUAGUUCUUUCUCUGACUGUACCUGACAAACAAAACUGUCCCCAGGAAUUCAGGCAAAGGACACAAAGACUGGGUACUUGAGAGAACGUUGAGCAAACUAUUUCUGUAAGAGGGCAAGUUAGGCCAGUGUUAAUUAAAUAAUCUAAAUCACCGUUUCUCAAAAUGUGAAAUUUAGAAAGACAGGGCUAGGAAUCUACGUCUUCAGCAGGAUUUCCAGAUGUUUCUUACACACACUGAUGUUUAAGAAUUUCUAAUCUACAUUAAUCGUAGGUUCCAACGUAGGUUCCAAGAAAAUUCUAGUUGAAAUUUCUGGAUAGAUCGAACAGUCACAGUAACAAGAAAGACAUAAAUCUUUGUUAUUAAUGGAAUCAUUAUGAGAAAAGAAAAGUGGACACAUUUUAUCCCUAAGAAAACAAUUCAGGUGCAGCUUAUAUUUGCGCCUGCUACAUCCCAGGCACUGGUGUUCUAGAAUUUUUCCAUGUAUUUUUUUUUUUAAUUCCCACAACACCACAUUUAAAAAUGAGAAAACUAGGUUGAGUGACUUGUCCACAGUUUCAAAGCUAAUAAAAAUGAUGAGGCAUGUUUCUCUUCUGGGCUCACUGUAUUCAGUUCUUUGUUCUUACACUGAGUGCCGAAAAAAAAAAAAAAAUCAGACUACUUUCAUUCUAGAAAGUGAUAUAAUUGAAAAUUUUAACAUAUUUCUCCAAAAC